This 435-nucleotide ribosomal RNA is filed under the name uncultured Clostridium sp. RNAcentral's name for it is "partial 16S ribosomal RNA". It matches the Rfam family "Bacterial small subunit ribosomal RNA", at positions 341 to 792 of the family's 1533-position model. The record is from RNAcentral. Lineage: Bacteria; Bacillati; Bacillota; Clostridia; Eubacteriales; Clostridiaceae.
ACGGGAGGCAGCAGUGGGGAAUAUUGGGCAAUGGGGGAAACCCUGACCCAGCAACGCCGCGUGAAGGAAGAAGGCCUUCGGGUUGUAAACUUCUUUUACCAGGGACGAAGAAUGACGGUACCUGGAGAAAAAGCAACGGCUAACUACGUGCCAGCAGCCGCGGUAAUACGUAGGUUGCAAGCGUUGUCCGGAUUUACUGGGUGUAAAGGGCGUGUAGGCGGAGCUGCAAGUCAGAUGUGAAAUCCAUGGGCUCAACCCAUGAACUGCAUUUGAAACUGCCAUUCUUGAGUAUCGGAGAGGCAAGCGGAAUUCCUAGUGUAGCGGUGAAAUGCGUAGAUAUUAGGAGGAACACCAGUGGCGAAGGCGGCUUGCUGGACGAAAACUGACGCUGAGGCGCGAAAGCGUGGGGAGCAAACAGGAUUAGAUACCCUGGUA